UUAUGUACUAUUUGUCCUUUUAUUUCUAAUCUAACUGAACCGGGUGAGGCAAUGUCCUCCUCCAAAUAGAAUCUGUACCCAUUUACAGAUUUUCCUUACUCCCAAUGUUGCUUUCCAAUCACAAUCCCAUAUGCAAUCUUUCGUUUUUCUCCCUCUUCCUCUGCCGUCACUCUUCAUUCUUCACCUUUUCCCAGUCUAACUCUUUCUCUUUCUCUUCCAUCUUCAUUCUUUCCAAAUCUGAAAAUCAAUCCCUACUUCUCUUUUUAUUCAUCUUCAUCCACAAUAUCUUUAUCUUCAUCUUCAUAAUGGUUUAGAUAAAGCUAGGUGGAGUUAGGGUUUGUACUGAUGACGAAAAUGAAAGGUUUGUUAGGGUUAUGAUCAAGAUUUACGGGUUUGGUUGAAGGAAAUACACAGUUGGUUACUCAACCAUCAUGUAAGCUAUUCUUUCUUUUGAGUGUUCACAAAGCUUAUGGAUUUGCGCAUUCGAAGGCGGAAUAUGUAUCAAUUUUGCAGUUUCGCAAAGAGUUUUCUUUUCCAUAGGAUCUAAAGGAUGUUUGGUUGAAGGAAAUACACAGUUGGUUACUCAACCAUCAUGUAAGCUAUUCUUUCUUUUGAGUGUUCACAAAGCUUAUCGAUUUGCGCAUUCGAAGGCGGAAUAUGUAUCAGUUUUGCAGUUUCGCAAAGAGUUUUCUUUUCCAUAGGAUCUAAAAGAUGUUUGGUUGAAGGAAAUACACAGUUGGUUACUCAACCAUCAUGUAAGCUAUUCUUUCUUUUGAGUGUUCACAAAGCUUAUGGAUUUGCGCAUUCGAAGGCGGAAUAUGUAUCAGUUUUGCAGUUUCGCAAAGAGUUUUCUUUUCCAUAGGAUCUAAAGGAUUGUGUCAAUAAAGUCACUCCAACAUAGAGUUACUGUCAAUGGUGCAUAUCAUUUAAGUUGUUUGUGUGGAUUAGAACAUGAAGAUUUCAUAAGCAGGUAGAGGAUAAGGUAACAAGGUGGGUGAAAGAAUGAAAUGGGGGACCGCGCGCAUUAUCAAGAGGUGAUGGUGUAACUGAUGUCGGCAUGAAAAAAAGAUAAGUAUUAAUUUCACUAAAUAUGACUUUUUGCUGCAAUGAAAUCUUCUAAAAUUUCGGUUAGACUUGGUUUCGCGAACUCUUUUCAAUCACGACGGGAAAUCUCGGGGCUCUACGUCGUCCCAACCCCACAAGGGUCUUAAUUUUGAUUCUCUUUUGAUGUUUCAUUUUCAAUGAGAAUGAUUCACAUGACAACUGAAUCUCAAAUAUGCAGAACCACAUUAAUUCAUGUGUUAGAUAUAUCGAUAUCGUUUCUACCAUGUCCAUUUGUUGUUGCAUCUUCUGCGGAAUAAUUAUCUCUUUUUUGGUUUAUAUUUUCACAUUUUCUGACUGGUUCACAUCUUUAAACUUUUCCAAGUAGGUUUGAUUUGAACAAUGUUUACAUUUUCACUUUGUUAAAACUUCACACAAAUUUAUAGCUAAUGUGGUUCCUUUUUUUUUUCAUCUUAAGAUUUCUUUGGUUGCUACCGACUCAAAAACACCAUGAUUCCGUGAGCGAUGGAGACAUAUAUGCUGGUGUAUUAUUCUAUGGAAGUAUGAUAAUUUUGUUGAAUGAAUUUGCUGAAAGAAUAUUUCACUUGCUGUAUCUAAAGAGGAAGCCAAAGAAGUUGGAACAUCAAAGAUAAAUGGAAUCCAACAAAGCAGCAGUGAUGCGGCAGUUAUGGUGGAUUCGUCUUAAUAAGAAGAAGAAGGAGCUCCAUUAAUCAAAUAGAAAUGGGACACCGGAUAGAAGAAGACUUCUCAUUUGCAGGUAGAUAUGGUGGAGUUAUCUGAUAAGAUGGAUGUUCCACCAGAAGAGAUUAAGGAGGAAAAACAAAGAUUGUUUGAGGGCAAGGCAGUAGAUGUAACUGAAACAUGUGAUGAUAUCUGUAAUACUUCAAGUUCUCAACACUCUUCGCAAUUUCUUCAGAAGCAGCUCAGUAUGCAACAACAACCUGCAACAGCAAAUUGAAAUAAAGCUUAAUCCACCAAUACCGCUUCUACCAUAAUAUUUGCUAUCAAUGGCCCUGUUUUCUCACAAAGUCACACUCAAUACAAAUGUUCUAACCAAACUUCUCACUCUAAUAUUUGAAGACAUUUCCUCAUAAUUUCACGUGUGUGUAAUGAAAGUUGUCCGAAGAGCUGUGCUAGAUGGAUUGUUGGAAAUAACAUUUCAGAAUUUGUUACUGAAAAUAAAUGCAAGAACCAAAAGCUUUACUCUUUAAUAUGAACUUCUGAAAGUUGCAUGUUAGACUGUCAAACGGUAAUGUUAAAUGUUUUGCAGUUUUUGAAUACUUGAAAUAAUCAAACAGUUCAAAAUAAUGUUAUUUGUGUGGACAUUUAAAUAAUGUAGUUGAAGAAGAGGAGGUUGGUGACAUGCCA
Molecule: long non-coding RNA, 2430 nt
Organism: Vicia villosa (hairy vetch)
Lineage: Eukaryota; Viridiplantae; Streptophyta; Magnoliopsida; Fabales; Fabaceae
Exons: 6
Source: RefSeq, a predicted model, not a curated record